Nylanderia fulva is the source of this 493-nucleotide non-coding RNA. NCBI's taxonomy places the organism in Eukaryota, Metazoa, Arthropoda, Insecta, Hymenoptera, Formicidae. The record is from RefSeq and is a predicted model, not a curated record.
CUGACACUAAAUUUAUAGAAUAUUUGGCUUGCAGUAAAGAUACUGAUAUAACUAAAAACUAUUUAACAUAUAAACCUUUUUCUAAAUUAGAAAAUCAAUAUCUUUUUAACAGUUUCUUACAUAUUAUUACGAAGCAUGCGAAGAAUCGAAAUAUCCUGAUGGACAUAUUAAAUGACAUUUUUUUAACAUAAGACCAAAACAUGUUGAUGUAACUGCAGCAUUAAUUAUUAUUAUUAAUAACGUAUAUUCCGUAAAUCUAACUGAGGAAAUAAAGGAAUACGUUAUAAGGUUCAAGUUCCACGCAAUCUUAUCAAUUGAGAAAAUGAAAGAAAAGGAUUCCAUAAUGCUGAAGUCUGAUAAAGUUGAAAGCAAGAUAUCAAUUCGCAACUAUCAAAUCGAAAGACAGAAGCAGUAUUAUGAAACAUUUUUCUACCAGCAGAAUAAUUACACGUUAACAUACUCUUCUUCCAAUCAACGCGAUGAAUUGUGAUAU